AGAAGACCAAAAGCUGCUAAGGCAGAUAUUUCCAGAGGUACUAACCGAGCGGAUGGAUGCAUGAUGGCCUCUUUCAGUUUUGUCAACUGAACGUCUACUAGUGAGGCUCAGCAAGUUCUUGUCAUGAUCAGCCCUCUCCAAGAAAGCUGAAGAGCAAAAGCACAAACAACAUCAGUCCUGUUGGGGAUGAGGAAUGAACAUGGCUCUAUUGUGCCCAAACAGAAAAGAGUGAAAAGACUAAAGAGAAGCGGGUCUGAGGCCAGAGAUGGAGGAGUCAAUGGUCACCAAAUGCAGCGCUGCAGCCUGAAACUGAGAAGACUGGAUUCCCAAACAGCUCUGUGACCGCACAGAUGUUACGGCCAUAAAAGAAACUUCACAACUGAGAGCCCAUACCUCCAACAACCUUCAACAGGAAUCAAUGGACAUCUACGCAAGGUUUUUCUUUUGUUGAGGACCGUCAGAGACUCCAGCCACACGAGCCAUGGAUUGCUCUCACUGUUACCAUCAGACAGACAUUAUCACAGAACCAGCACCAGCAGACUGCAAGACAAGUUCCUUCCACAGGCAAUCAGACUGAACUGAACUCGUACCAGUAACACCACACACACACACACACACACACACACACACACACACACACACACACACACACACACACACACACUCACACACACACACUCACACACCAGCAGCCUCAUACUGUAUGCACUGCACUCUAUCAGCUACACUGACCGGACUCUCUCUCACUAUUAUUCUGCAGCCUGAUAUUCUGUUUGCACUAAUUCAUACUGUACUGAAAG
Molecule: long non-coding RNA, 800 nt
Organism: Carassius auratus (goldfish)
Lineage: Eukaryota; Metazoa; Chordata; Actinopteri; Cypriniformes; Cyprinidae
Exons: 5
Source: RefSeq, a predicted model, not a curated record